UCCUGGCUGGCUCAGUCGGAAGAGUGUGAGGUUCUUGAUCUAGAGGUCGUGAGUUCAAGCCCCACGCUGGGUG
Molecule: transfer RNA, 73 nt
Filed under: Ailuropoda melanoleuca (giant panda)
Lineage: Eukaryota; Metazoa; Chordata; Mammalia; Carnivora; Ursidae
Rfam family: tRNA
About the family: Transfer RNA (tRNA) molecules are approximately 80 nucleotides in length. Their secondary structure includes four short double-helical elements and three loops (D, anti-codon, and T loops).
Source: Rfam by way of RNAcentral